UCUUCGCAGAUUUGACAUAUCCUAACUCGAAUCUCGUGCCCGGAGUACAUUACACUUCCAUAACUCAAGAAGACGUAUACCGUCCAAGCUCUUCCACCCCAAAUAGCAAACAACACUUGUCUUGAUAAGUUAUAGAGUUGACAAGCGCCCUCAAGUAGCAGACUACCUUGGUGAAUCAGCUCUUGUAGCGUGCCCCCAAAUGAGGUGUAAGGUAGAUAACGAACCUCUCCAGCAGCGUCACGGCAAACAGCCACUCGAUUAGUCAAUACUGGUAUGCUGGGAGCAAACGAAUACCAGCCCAACUACCAAGAACUGGGGCCAUGCCUUAUUCUCAAUACUCUAGAUAAUUCAAUACUAAAGUAACACAUCACCAGUAGUCGAGCAUCACGGACCUAGUGGUCCAAUUCCUCUUGAUGCGCAUAACUUGGCCUAAGCCAGCCUCAACUCUGCAUUCACAAUCGUGCCUAUCUGCUUCAUGGCUCCCGGCAACCCUUAAUUUGUCACCAUGGCUUCUAACUGUACCGAUCUUACACCAUGGCUCCCAGCCGUGCCGAUCUUGCUUUAUGGCUCGUGCCGACUAAGCCCAUGACACUCUAAACUUCAAAGCAUCCUACGACAGAGCAGAAGACAGGGCUUUAUUAGUAGCCUCUGCUAGCAAAAGACUUAGCGGUGAAAAAGCUUGCAAUCCAUUCAAAUUCUCAGCUCAUCACCAACUAAGCCUUAAAUGGGUACAUAAUGAAACAUUUAACGAUGGCGCAAUACUUGAAGAAAGUCUAGGAGCAGCUCACCGUGCUUUCACAUACAUCUUUACAUAAGUUCCACAAGCAGAUUGCCAAACAAAGACCUCACAUGUUGAGGAUUAUUUUAGUUAUCUAGCACUUAAUUUUUCCUUAGCUGCACUCACAACAACGACUUUCAUGCUCUUCAGUGCGAGAAGGUAAACCAAUUCCUUGACACCCAUAUGGGUCUGCUUUUUAGUGCAAGAGGGUAAACUAAUUCCCCGACACUCAUCUAGGUCUAUUCUCCAGUGUGAGAGGGUAAAUUAAUUACUCUCCAGUGCGAUAAGGUAAACUAAUUCCCCGACAUUCAUCCAAGUUUGCUCUCCAGUGCGAGAGGAUAAACCAAUUGCUCUCUAGUGUGAAAAGGUAAACUAAUUCACCGACACCCAUCUGGGUCUGCUCUCCAACGUGAGAGGAUAAGUGAGAGGGUAAACUAAUUGCUUUCCAAUGCAAGAGGGUAAACUAAUUCCCUGACACCUAUCUCGGUCUGCUAUCCAAUGCAAGAAGAUAAACUAAUUGUUCUCUAGUGCGAUAAGGUAAAUUAAUUCCCCGACACCCAUUUGGGUUUGCUCUCAAGUGCGAAAGGAUAAACUAAUUGCUCUCCAGUGCAAGAAUGCCACACAACUCAAAAGAUCGAAU
RNAcentral lists this long non-coding RNA (1418 nucleotides) under Malus domestica (apple). Its description in RNAcentral is "long non-coding RNA (MDOM_LNC015778)". The record is from RNAcentral. Lineage: Eukaryota; Viridiplantae; Streptophyta; Magnoliopsida; Rosales; Rosaceae.